Molecule: ribosomal RNA, 416 nt
Filed under: Clostridioides difficile
Lineage: Bacteria; Bacillati; Bacillota; Clostridia; Peptostreptococcales; Peptostreptococcaceae
Description: bacterial SSU rRNA
Rfam family: Bacterial small subunit ribosomal RNA
Source: RNAcentral
UUUUAUUUGAGAGUUUGAUCCUGGCUCAGGAUGAACGCUGGCGGCGUGCCUAACACAUGCAAGUUGAGCGAUUUACUUCGGUAAAGAGCGGCGGACGGGUGAGUAACGCGUGGGUAACCUACCCUGUACACACGGAUAACAUACCGAAAGGUAUGCUAAUACGGGAUAAUAUAUUUGAGAGGCAUCUCUUGAAUAUCAAAGGUGAGCCAGUACAGGAUGGACCCGCGUCUGAUUAGCUAGUUGGUAAGGUAACGGCUUACCAAGGCGACGAUCAGUAGCCGACCUGAGAGGGUGAUCGGCCACAUUGGAACUGAGACACGGUCCAAACUCCUACGGGAGGCAGCAGUGGGGAAUAUUGCACAAUGGGCGAAAGCCUGAUGCAGCAACGCCGCGUGAGUGAUGAAGGCCUUCGGGUC